Molecule: long non-coding RNA, 214 nt
Filed under: Elaeis guineensis (African oil palm)
Lineage: Eukaryota; Viridiplantae; Streptophyta; Magnoliopsida; Arecales; Arecaceae
Description: long non-coding RNA (EGUI_LNC079247)
Source: RNAcentral
ACUCAGAAUCUUUAUCGAUGAUUACAUAGUUUUUAUGAGGUUCAUCGAAGGUCUCCAUCAGAGCAUCCAAAAGGAGCUAAAAUUUUUCAAAGUUGCAGACAUCAACGAAGUUAGCAUGAAGAGCAUAGGGAUUGUGGAGAAGAAUUAGCCUAAGAAAGUCUAGAAUGAUGAAAAGUGCAAGAAAGAUAGUAGAAAAUCAAACUCAAAAGGACAA